This is a long non-coding RNA of Silurus meridionalis, 415 nucleotides long. RefSeq lists it as uncharacterized. Lineage: Eukaryota; Metazoa; Chordata; Actinopteri; Siluriformes; Siluridae. The transcript is spliced from 3 exons. The record is from RefSeq and is a predicted model, not a curated record.
AAAAAAAAAAAAAGAUAAAGAAAAAACCUGCUCUUUCUUAUCAAAAAGCUUUCGAACAUUGUCGACGUGUUUACACUCGAAAUCGCUUCAAGCGUGCUCACGUCAACUCCGCAAGGAGUGCAUGCGUGACAAGACACGGACGCUCACAAGUGUCCUUCAAAACUCCUUGCAGAAAUGAAAACUGUUAUCGGUGAUCAGCGCGACUGGACGGGAAGUCAUUUGAGAAAUGCUUUAAACUGGCAAGAGAAAGAAAGACAUACGCAGGCAGACAAACACGCACAUACUCACUGAGUGGGAGAGGGGGAAAAGUAUAGAAGAUGAAUGGAGACGAUGGUGAAACCUUAACCAAAUUCCAAAAACCUAUAACAUGAGAAGCAGGAAACGGCCACAGAGCUCUCAGGACAUUGGCCUCAAG